ACUCCUACGGGAGGCAGCAGUGGGAAUAUUGGACAAUGGGGGAACCGUAGCAUCCAGCCAUGCCGCGUGUGUGAAGAAGGCCUUAUGGUUGUAAAGCACUUUAAGCGAGGAGGAGGCUACUGAGACUAAUACUCUUGGAUAGUGGACGUUACUCGCAGAAUAAGGACCGGCUAACUCCGUGCCAGCAGCCGCGGUAAUACGGAGGGUCCGAGCGUUAUCCGGAAUCAUUGGGUUUAAAGGGUCCGUAGGCGGGCCGUUAAGUCAGGGGUGAAAGUCUGCGGCUCAACCGUAGAAAUGCCUUUGAUACUGGCGGUCUUGAGUUAUGGCGAAGUGGGCGGAAUAUGUAGUGUAGCGGUGAAAUGCAUAGAUAUUACAUAGAACACCGAUUGCGAAGGCAGCCCACUAGCCAUGGACUGACGCUGAUGGACGAAAGCGUGGGGAGCGAACAGGAUUAGAUACCCUGGUAGGUC
This 470-nucleotide ribosomal RNA is filed under the name uncultured bacterium. RNAcentral's name for it is "bacterial SSU rRNA". It matches the Rfam family "Bacterial small subunit ribosomal RNA", at positions 335 to 795 of the family's 1533-position model. The record is from RNAcentral.